GCCGGGGUAGCUCAGCCGGUCAGAGCGCCAGGCUCCUCAUCUGGAGGCCGUGGGUUCGAACCCCACCCCCGGCA
RNAcentral lists this transfer RNA (74 nucleotides) under Thermoprotei archaeon. RNAcentral describes it as "tRNA-Arg". It matches the Rfam family "tRNA". Rfam says of the family: Transfer RNA (tRNA) molecules are approximately 80 nucleotides in length. Their secondary structure includes four short double-helical elements and three loops (D, anti-codon, and T loops). The record is from RNAcentral. Lineage: Archaea; Thermoproteati; Thermoproteota; Thermoprotei.